RNAcentral lists this ribosomal RNA (425 nucleotides) under uncultured bacterium. Its description in RNAcentral is "partial 16S ribosomal RNA". It matches the Rfam family "Bacterial small subunit ribosomal RNA", at positions 354 to 796 of the family's 1533-position model. The record is from RNAcentral.
GUGGGGAAUAUUGGACAAUGGGCGCAAGCCUGAUCCAGCCAUGCCGCGUGAGUGAUGAAGGCCCUAGGGUUGUAAAGCUCUUUCACCGGUGAAGAUAAUGACGGUAACCGGAGAAGAAGCCCCGGCUAACUUCGUGCCAGCAGCCGCGGUAAUACGAAGGGGGCUAGCGUUGUUCGGAAUUACUGGGCGUAAAGCGCACGUAGGCGGACAUUUAAGUCAGGGGUGAAAUCCCAGGGCUCAACUCUGGAACUGCCUUUGAUACUGGGUGUCUUGAGUAUGGAAGAGGUAAGUGGAAUUCCGAGUGUAGAGGUGAAAUUCGUAGAUAUUCGGAGGAACACCAGUGGCGAAGGCGGCUCACUGGUCCGGUACUGACGCUAAGGUGCGAAAGCGUGGGGAGCAAACAGGAUUAGAAACCCCUGUAGUCC